GACGAACGCUGGCGGCGUGCUUAACACAUGCAAGUCGAGCGGUAAGGCCCUUUCGGGGGUACACGAGCGGCGAACGGGUGAGUAACACGUGGGUGACCUGCCCUUAGCUCUGGGAUAAGCCUGGGAAACUGGGUCUAAUACCGGAUAUGACUCCAUGACGCAUGUUGUGGGGUGGAAAGCCUUGUGCGGCUAGGGAUGGCCCGCGGCUAUCGGCUUGUUGGUGGGGUGAUGGCCUACCAAGGCGACGACGGGUAGCCGGCCUGAGAGGGCGACCGGCCACACUGGGACUGAGACACGGCCCAGACUCCUACGGGAGGCAGCAGUGGGGAAGUCUUGCGCAAUGGGCGAAAGCCUGACGCAGCGACGCCGCGUGAGGGAUGACGGCC
Molecule: ribosomal RNA, 386 nt
Filed under: uncultured bacterium
Lineage: Bacteria
Description: bacterial SSU rRNA
Rfam family: Bacterial small subunit ribosomal RNA
Source: RNAcentral